GCGGGGCCCAACACCAGGGGAAGCUGUACCCUGGUGGUAAGGACUAGAGGUUAGAGGAGACCCCCCGCACAACAAUAAACAGCAUAUUGACGCUGGGAGAGACCAGAGAUCCUGCUGUCUCCACAGCAUCAUUCCAGGCACAGAACGCCAGAAAAUGGAAUGGUGCUGUUGAAUCAACAGGUUCU
RNAcentral lists this long non-coding RNA (185 nucleotides) under dengue virus type 1. Its description in RNAcentral is "dengue virus type I sfRNA4". The stretch from base 93 to 185 matches the Rfam family "Flavivirus 3' UTR cis-acting replication element (CRE)". Rfam says of the family: The family is thought to play a crucial role in replication and is thought to be needed for the formation of a "replication complex". Lineage: Riboviria; Orthornavirae; Kitrinoviricota; Flasuviricetes; Amarillovirales; Flaviviridae. The record is from RNAcentral.